UACCAGACUCCUACGGGAGGCAGCAGUGGGGAAUAUUGCACAAUGGGGGGAACCCUGAUGCAGCGACGCCGCGUGGGUGAAGGAGUACUUCGGUACGUAAAGCCCUAUCAGCAGGAAAGAAAAUGACGGUACCUGACUAAGAAGCCCCGGCUAACUACGUGCCAGCAGCCGCGGUAAUACGUAGGGGGCAAGCGUUAUCCGGAUUUACUGGGUGUAAAGGGAGCGUAGACGGUUAUGUAAGUCUGGAGUGAAAGCCCGGGGCCCAACCCCGGGACUGCUUUGGAAACUGUGUAACUGGAGUACAGGAGGGGCAGGCGGAAUUCCUGGUGUAGCGGUGAAAUGCGUAGAUAUCAGGAGGAACACCGGCGGCGAAGGCGGCCUGCUGGACUGCAACUGACGUUGAGGCUCGAAGGCGUGGGGAGCAAACAGGAUUAGAUACCCGUGUAUA
RNAcentral lists this ribosomal RNA (448 nucleotides) under uncultured bacterium. RNAcentral describes it as "bacterial SSU rRNA". It matches the Rfam family "Bacterial small subunit ribosomal RNA", at positions 329 to 794 of the family's 1533-position model. The record is from RNAcentral.